RNAcentral lists this ribosomal RNA (501 nucleotides) under uncultured bacterium. RNAcentral's name for it is "partial 16S ribosomal RNA". It matches the Rfam family "Bacterial small subunit ribosomal RNA", at positions 355 to 844 of the family's 1533-position model. The record is from RNAcentral.
UGGGGAAUUUUGGACAAUGGGCGAAAGCCUGAUCCAGCAAUGCCGCGUGUGUGAAGAAGGCCUUCGGGUUGUAAAGCACUUUUGUCCGGAAAGAAAUCCUUGGCUCUAAUACAGUCGGGGGAUGACGGUACCGGAAGAAUAAGCACCGGCUAACUACGUGCCAGCAGCCGCGGUAAUACGUAGGGUGCAAGCGUUAAUCGGAAUUACUGGGCGUAAAGCGUGCGCAGGCGGUUUGCUAAGACCGAUGUGAAAAUCCCCGGGCUCAACCUGGGAACUGCAUUGGUGACUGGCAGGCUAGAGUAUGGCAGAGGGGGGUAGAAUUCCACGUGUAGCAGUGAAAAUGCGUAGAGAUGUGGAGGAAUACCGAUGGCGAAGGCAGCCCCCUGGGCAAUAACUGACGCUCAUGCACGAAAAGCGUGGGGAGCAAAACAGGAUUAGAUACCCUGGUAGUCCACGCCCUAAAACGAUGUCAACUAGUUGUUGGGGAUUCAUUUCCUUAGU